GGGUCCUUAGCUCAGCCAGGUAGAGUGCCGGGCUUUUAACACCGAUGAGCAGAAGAGAGUCAUGUGAUCAAUGAUCUGGAUACUCUGGUGAGGUGGAAGAAACCCGGAUGUCAGGGGUUCGAAUCCCCUAGGACUCA
Molecule: transfer RNA, 137 nt
Filed under: marine sediment metagenome
Description: tRNA-Lys
Rfam family: tRNA
About the family: Transfer RNA (tRNA) molecules are approximately 80 nucleotides in length. Their secondary structure includes four short double-helical elements and three loops (D, anti-codon, and T loops). Further hydrogen bonds mediate the characteristic L-shaped molecular structure. tRNAs have two regions of fundamental functional importance: the anti-codon, which is responsible for specific mRNA codon recognition, and the 3' end, to which the tRNAs corresponding amino acid is attached (by aminoacyl-tRNA synthetases). tRNAs cope with the degeneracy of the genetic code in two manners: having more than one tRNA (with a specific anti-codon) for a particular amino acid; and 'wobble' base-pairing, i.e. permitting non-standard base-pairing at the 3rd anti-codon position.
Source: RNAcentral